This 228-nucleotide ribosomal RNA is filed under the name uncultured bacterium. RNAcentral's name for it is "partial 16S ribosomal RNA". It matches the Rfam family "Bacterial small subunit ribosomal RNA", at positions 568 to 795 of the family's 1533-position model. The record is from RNAcentral.
UGCGUAGGCGGACUAAUAAGUCAGUGGUGAAAUCUUUCGGCUCAACCGGGAAACUGCCAUUGAUACUGUUAGUCUUGAGUUCGGUUGAGGUAGGCGGAAUGUGUAAUGUAGCGGUGAAAUGCUUAGAUAUUACACAGAACACCAAUUGCGUAGGCAGCUUACUAGACCGACACUGACGCUGAGGCACGAAAGCGUGGGUAGCGAACAGGAUUAGAUACCCUGGUAGUC